UAGACUGAACUGUUUACUGUUAAAAAUGCAACUUAGAUUUCUUUCUGUUUUAAAACAAAAAUUCCACCGUCUAACUGGUGCCCUUCCUCCCAAAGCUCGGCUAUGGUCUGUGUUCGUUGCCUCUGUUCCUGCCACUGGGUACCACUGACAGGAUGUGCUCCUUCCUCUUUGCACAAAUACUCGAGGAAACUACAGCUGGAGCCUGAGUCAGCUUUCAUAGGCACAAGUUCUCCUUUGACAGAAUGUGACUUCUUCAUGUUUACUAAGUGUAUUAAGUUGAAAGGUCCUGAAUGUAUAUUACUUCCUGAAGCAUAGCCUGCCUUGCUAAACUAGCACUCAGUAUCUCUGUCACAACUCACUUUGAUACCCGUCAGCACUGGCAGUUUCUAAUUGUAGCUUUUUAACUUCUUCUGCAUAGAAUUUAAAACUUGCCUUCCAACACAGAUUUUUUUCUUCUGAAACGUGUGCUGUCCAAGAGCUCACAGUGAUUUCUACAGCUUUGUGUUAUGCUGCCAUAACUGGGUUGACACAGUGCCUUCAUGCAGUUGUGAUCCCUGGUAAAGUUUCGUUCUCACUCUUUUCAUCCAAAUUGUUUAUUUUUGGGAAUUUCCUGCUCAAGUGAUCAAGAGCUUUGAUAUUCUCAAAAUAGCGUUGUUUUUUUUCCCCCCACUUGUUUAAACUGCACAUGGUAAUGGGAAGAGAGCAUGGCCAAAGCUAGGAAAAAUAUUUUUAGCAAAAUGAAAUUAGUUGAAGAGUUGUUCUGUAAUUUUUUAGGGGGAGUGUUUUGUCUUCCAUCCUUUCCUUGGGGCAGGAUCAGGGCCAGCAUCUAUUGCAAAUGCAGCCACUUCACAGAGCACCAUGGUUGGGCACCUGCUUCCUUUCAUCCCAGAAAAGAAGUUCCAGCUUUGAUCCUGAAGAGACUCAUGUUGGUUCAGCUAUGGGAAUACGGGUUGCUACAGCUCACAGAAUGGCUUGCCAGAAGGGUGAAGGAACUCAGUGAUUUUACAAGGAACAGUAAUCAG
Molecule: long non-coding RNA, 1022 nt
Organism: Gallus gallus (chicken)
Lineage: Eukaryota; Metazoa; Chordata; Aves; Galliformes; Phasianidae
Source: Ensembl